CAAAUUAAACCCUCAAGCUUAACACUUCUGCCCUAAAUUCAUAGCCGCUAGCUGUGUAACUUACCGUCGGCCCUAAUUUCAAAUCUAUUUUCUGGAUAGAACUCCGAUUGAAGGCAUGUGUAUCUUACUCAAUUGAUUUAUUUCUUCUAUUGUACUUAUUUCUUUUGAUUCGGUGUCGUGACAGUUCUAUAAAGUUUCGAUUUUGGUUUAACGGUGGGGAACGGAGAUCUGUUAGGAGACAAGGUUUGAUAGAAUCGGCGAGGUUUCUGAGUUGUGCGAGUAGCGGACGUGUGAUGAGGGAGCCAUCUAUGCUUGUGAGGGAGGCUGCGGCGGAGCAGCUCGAGGAGAGGCAGAGCGAUUGGGCUUAUUUUAAGCCUAGACAUUCACGGUCUUUGUCGGCGACUUUACAGCCUAGACAUUCACGGUCUUUGUUGCAAACAUCGUCUUUCUUCUCAUUUGAUUCAUUGCCGCUAUUAAAUUCAGCCGCCGCUUUUGGUGUUGAUGGAGGAGAAGUUCCGUUUUGGUGUCGAUUGAGGUUUCAGAUUGGUCUAAUUUGGUGAAGGAAUAACCGAGAGAAGGCUUUGUACAAUUGAGAUGGAAUCAAAACGAUUGGUUUGGCGCAAUUCCAGGAGCGUUGAAGGAGCUGCAAGAAUCACGUUGGAGGGUAAGAGAUGGAGAUUUAAUUUGGGGAUUUAAAGGAUUGAAGAUGGAGAAGGCGAAGGAUUUUGUGUUGAUUUUUGAAAUUUACAUGCAGAUGGUAGAACGAUGCCACAAAGUUCUUGUUCGAAAGGCGCUGGAAGUGAUUACAAGUUUAUAGAUGGAUGGAAUUUGUAUGUCUUGAUUUCACGAUAUCUUUCAAAUUGUUUCUAAUCGUGCCUGUUAUUUGGUAUUAUGGAUUGCAGAUACUAUAACUCACUUCCACCAAUAACCAAGGUUUUACAUGUUUCAGUUGAUUGAUAAUGUGCAUGUUGGUCUAAACGAUUCUCUUUUACUUUGCAUUCUUCUGUUGGAUUGUGGCUUAUGUGUUUUGUUUUCCUUGUUGUUCAUUUUUUUUCCAGACCUUCAUAAAAGGGAUUUGACUGAAUGGGAGGAAAUUCAAUGAAGAUGUUGCAAAUUACGUGUAUGUUUGAUUUUUGCAAUCAUAUUGUUGAAAGUUUUCUUUGUUUUUAUAUCGUGUAAAGAGUUUAUGCAUAUUGUGAUAAUUAGAUAUAAGUUAAUAGAUCUCAGUUUGUUUUUUUUAAUUGGUUAUAUGGCUGGCCUGCAACUGCUCAUUGGGCUGUUUCAAAAUAGACAAAGGAGUUAAAGUGAAGCCAAGAAAGUCGUUUACUCUUAAGGCUACUAAAGCAACAUGAAUAAGAAGACGUCACCUGUCCCAUCUUAAUAUACAUGGCCAAUGCAAGAAGAUGAGCAAGCUUGGAUGGGUUAUAUCUCAAGAAGUUAGUUUAUCCUUAUGAUGUUAGUUUUAUUUUGGUU
Molecule: long non-coding RNA, 1473 nt
Organism: Arabidopsis lyrata subsp. lyrata
Lineage: Eukaryota; Viridiplantae; Streptophyta; Magnoliopsida; Brassicales; Brassicaceae
Exons: 4
Source: RefSeq, a predicted model, not a curated record